RNAcentral lists this ribosomal RNA (523 nucleotides) under uncultured bacterium. Its description in RNAcentral is "bacterial SSU rRNA". It matches the Rfam family "Bacterial small subunit ribosomal RNA", at positions 8 to 524 of the family's 1533-position model. The record is from RNAcentral.
AGAGUUUGAUCCUGGCUCAGAUUGAACGCUGGCGGUAGGCUUAACACAUGCAAGUCGAGCGGAAACGAUGUAGCUUGCUACAGGCGUCGAGCGGCGGACGGGUGAGUAACGCGUAGGAAUCUGCCUAGUAGUGGGGGACAACCUGUGGAAACGCAGGCUAAUACCGCAUAAGCCCUGAGGGGGAAAGGAGGGGAUCUUCGGACCUUUCGCUAUUAGAUGAGCCUGCGUGAGAUUAGCUAGUUGGUGAGGUAAAGGCUCACCAAGGCGACGAUCUCUAGCUGGUCUGAGAGGAUGAUCAGCCACACUGGGACUGAGACACGGCCCAGACUCCUACGGGAGGCAGCAGUGGGGAAUAUUGGACAAUGGGCGCAAGCCUGAUCCAGCCAUACCGCGUGUGUGAAGAAGGCCCUAGGGUUGUAAAGCACUUUCAGAAGGGAGGAAAGGUUGAUGUUUAAUACACAUUAGCUGUGGCGUUACCUUCAGAAGAAGCACCGGCUAACUCUGUGCCAGCAGCCGCGGUAAU